GACGAACGCUGUCGGCGUGCUUAACACAUGCAAGUCGAACGGAAAGGCCCUGCUUUUGUGGGGUGCUCGAGUGGCGAACGGGUGAGUAACACGUGAGUAACCUGCCCUUGACUUUGGGAUAACUUCAGGAAACUGGGGCUAAUACCGGAUAGGAGCUCCUGCUGCAUGGUGGGGGUUGGAAAGUUUCGGCGGUUGGGGAUGGACUCGCGGCUUAUCAGCUUGUUGGUGGGGUAGUGGCUUACCAAGGCUUUGACGGGUAGCCGGCCUGAGAGGGUGACCGGCCACAUUGGGACUGAGAUACGGCCCAGACUCCUACGGGAGGCAGCAGUGGGGAAUAUUGCACAAUGGGCGGAAGCCUGAUGCAGCAACGCCGCGUGCGGGAUGACGGCCUUCGGGUUGUAAACCGCUUUCGCCUGUGACGAAGUGUGAGUGACGGUAAUGGGUAAAGAAGCACCGGCUAACUACGUG
This 468-nucleotide ribosomal RNA is filed under the name uncultured bacterium. RNAcentral describes it as "partial 16S ribosomal RNA". It matches the Rfam family "Bacterial small subunit ribosomal RNA", at positions 28 to 507 of the family's 1533-position model. The record is from RNAcentral.